AUACGUAGGUGGCAAGCGUUAUCCGGAAUUAUUGGGCGUAAAGCGCGCGCAGGCGGUCUCUUAAGUCUGAUGUGAAAGCCCACGGCUCAACCGUGGAGGGUCAUUGGAAACUGGGAGACUUGAGUGCAGGAGAGAAAAGUGGAAUUCCACGUGUGGCGGUGAAAUGCGUAGAGAUGUGGAGGAACACCAGUGGCGAAGGCGGCUUUUUGGCCUGUAACUGACGCUGAGGCGCGAAAGCGUGGGGAGCAAACAGGAUUAGAUACCCUGGUAGUCCACGCCGUAAACGAUGAGUGCUAGGUGUUGGGGGGUUCCACCCUCAGUGCUGAAGUUAACACAUUAAGCACUCCGCCUGGGGAGUACGACCGCAAGGUUGAA
Molecule: ribosomal RNA, 375 nt
Filed under: uncultured bacterium
Lineage: Bacteria
Description: bacterial SSU rRNA
Rfam family: Bacterial small subunit ribosomal RNA
Source: RNAcentral